GCGCCCCGUGCCUGCCAG
Molecule: unclassified non-coding RNA, 18 nt
Filed under: Mus musculus (house mouse)
Lineage: Eukaryota; Metazoa; Chordata; Mammalia; Rodentia; Muridae
Description: oocyte_clustered_small_RNA13453
Source: RNAcentral